Molecule: long non-coding RNA, 3863 nt
Organism: Panthera uncia (snow leopard)
Lineage: Eukaryota; Metazoa; Chordata; Mammalia; Carnivora; Felidae
Exons: 3
Source: RefSeq, a predicted model, not a curated record
GGGCGGCCUCGCCCCUGGGCAUUUCCGCGGUUGUCCUCCGGCCCUCGCUGGGGUGCGUGGAGCGGCGCAGGUCGGGUGAGGGCGCGGGUGGCCCCGGACGCCCCGCUCCGGCCCCUCGGAGGGGAGCGGCGCGGAGGGGCGGGGCGGGGUGCGUGUGUAAAUGUUGCGCACUCGCUUUUCCCCCACCCCCGCCUUCUUCUAGGGUGCUGGCGUGGGUUCCUCGCCGUCCGGCGGCGACUGUAAAUAGAGCCUGGAUGUUGUUUACAUGAAGGAUCCGGCGGGAGGAGUCUGCGAGGAGGAGGCGGAGGAGGAGGGAGGGAGGAGAGAGGAAGAACGGAGUCCCCGCGGCGGCGGCGGUCCGGGGUGAGGGGGAGCCCCGCGCGGCGUCCAGGGACCGGACGCUACCACGAGGCCGGGACGCUAGACCCUAGGAAGGGGGAAGGGACUUGGAGAUCGCCUGCUCCUGGCCGCAACUGAACCCACGGCUUCUCCCUGCCUUCCCGGGCCAAGGAAUCUUUUCCCUCACUCAGCUACCCGCAUGCCAGCUGCCACCUUUUUGGAGAAGGACCACACCUGUGCUUAUUCUCGCUUUGGAGGAGAGAUGCAGGACUAAAAGCUCUGAGAAUGGUGGACUCUGCAGAAAAGAGGAGUUUAAUUGUGUUUCUGGAACGGCUCAGUGUUCUAGAACUUGAGGUCAGUGAAAGUCUUUGGUAUUGCCCCUGUUAGCUGGCCCUUCAGGGAAUUUCAAAAUCUAAGACCCGGCAUUUUUACAUGGCAGUGCUGUAAUAAUGAGGAAGUUAUAGAUUAAUUAGGGACAGGGUGUUUAGAGAUGGUUAGCUUAGGUAGAUCAUUUUGAAUAGUUAUUUUAAAAAGAUUUAAUACAGAGGUGAAAUCAGAAUAAAACGGACUUGUGAGCGGACUCUAAAAUCUAAACUCUGGGGAAAAAAAUGGAAUCUAGAGCAAAAUCAGAAAGCAAAGUAACUGGAAUAGACGGUUGGACUAAAAGUGUGUAUGUGGAGUGUGUGUGUUGCGAGGAAAAGGCUAAUGAUAGAAUUUAUGGGAUAAUCCAUUUAUUUGUAAAUUUUUAGUCUCCUGUAGCUUUUUUGGACUAAAAUCCCCGUUAAAAUAAAUAAGAAAGCAUGUUCUUUCUCUGUGUUAUUGUGUACAUACUUCUUUGAUAGGUCUUUUCCUUGAGAUGGAUCUCUUGGGGUUAUGUGGUAGGAGAGGACUUGGAGGUCAGUGCUGGAAGUGGGUAAAAUAUGACACUCCCUUUAUAAUGCCUCCCAGUUAAUGCUUCUCUGUGAGAAUCAGGGUGGACAUUGCACAGGGCAGUGGUCCUUGACUUCUCUUUGCCUUUUUAGCCAGUUUCUUUUCUCCUUAAAAAAAAAAAUACCUGUAAUUCCCUCACUCUAGGUCUCCUAAUAAUCUCUAGCAGAAGUUAGUUUUUAAAAAGUGUUGAUACAGCAGAGCUUUGCAGUGAUACGCAUGUGUACAUUCCUGUACUUCUAACAAAGCAGUAAUUGAUAUUUGAGCAUUUUUUGUUGACAGUAAAUUUUUAUAACAUCACAGUUGGGUCAGAUAUGCACAUUUUAUAACAUUGAGUUGGAUUUCGGUUUUCAAGUUGGGAAAAAAGUCACACUUUAGUAAAAGCCUGGUGGAUUUAAUUAAACAAUCUUAUUUAAACUAUUGUGUUUGAAGUGUUUUGUAAAUACUUGGCAUUGUCAGCAGCUUAUUUUAUGGUGCCUCCAGUUAUUUACUGAGAUAUUUAAAGGUUUAAAAUCAUAUUUUCAUUUUUGGUCUACAGGUAAGAGAGAUGUGACAUGUUCUUUGUGUGUUCAUUUAUACUCCCCAAGAUUGAUUGAUUGAUUUUGUUUAUUUAUUUUGAGAGAGAGUCUGAGUGGGGUAAGGGCAGCGAGAGAGAAGAGGGAGAGAAUCCCAUUCAGGCUCUGCACUGCCAGCUGCAGACCCGAUGCAGGGCUUGAACUCACAAACGGUGAGAUCAUGACCUGGGACUGAAACCAAUAGAUGGUUAACUGACUGAACCUCCCAGCCGCCCCAGUACUCUGCAAUAUUUAAAAGCAAGUUCUUUACUAUACCAGUUUGCCACAAGUACUUAAUUUAUUGAUAAUAUUUGGUGCAUGCAUCAUGAAGAAAUUGUUCUCAGUUUGUAUCAUUUUUAUCAUAGAACUUUAAAAUCAAUUUGAUCUCGGUAGGAAACAUCACUAUUUUGUUUCUUCUCUUACUUUGCAGUAUAGUUUGGUAUGUAGCAUGAGUACCUGCAGUCACCUGUUUUAAUAUUAAAACAGUUCCAUUUUUAUAAGAAAAAUCUCUUGAGAAAGAAAUGUUUCAGAUUUGAUUUUUUAAAAUGGACAUUUAUAAAGAAUAAUUUCCAAGAAGAAAUAAGACUUUGCAUCUCUGAAGUUUAUUUAUCAGUAUUUAUAAAAUACAAUAACCCAUAUUUUUCUUCCUUGAAACUGCUUUAGAAUUAUUCUGAGAGCAUUAGUGUAAGUAACCACUCACAGUAUGAUGACAAUUUGCUUUUUAUCACUUGGUCUGUGAGGUGUUGUUUUUUUUGUUUGUGUGUGUAUGUGUUUUAUUUUUUGAUCCCACUUUAGACAAAGUGAGAGAAAAAUAAGAAAAUAUCUUUUAUAUAAUGUGCCAGAAAUGUUUAGUUAUGUGGAUUUUGGUCAUGGCUAAAUAAAGUGAAUUUCAGCUUUGCAGUACAAUACGAACUAAGUUCAUCUUGGCGUACUUCACAUUUAGAUGUUCAGUUACAUUAAUACUGAACCUUGUGUAGAACAGUCUAUUCACCACUAAGUAUAUCAAGGCUGCUUAUUUGUUCCCAUAACUUGUCCACCCUUCAGUGUCUCAGAGUAAGUACUCCUCUUUUCCGUACUGACAGAACUUGUAUCCAGGAAAUGUUAGGUGGUAAUCUUCUUAUCCUCUUUGACAGAUCAGCUAUCUAAAAUUUUAUUCUCAAGUAAUCACAAUAUCUUUGUUCAUGUAACAGAUGUUUAUAAUUUGGGUGAAAAUGUGCAGCUAUUUCCAGGAACCUAAGGUUACGAGAUCCAACUUUUUUUUUUAAGCUUCGUUGCCCUCUCGUGUUUCAACUCUGUAUUACAUCAGUUGGCUAAAACCUAGGCAUUGUGACCUCCUUGAGUUUUAGAUAUUUAGAGAAUGUUUUAAUUUGUGUGAAGGUGGGUUAUUUCAUUGGAUGCUACUUUUCUGAAGAUAAGGUCAGUUUCAUAGUGCAUAAAGUCACUGUACUCCUGUUUUCUGCUUCUCAUCUAAAGAAUUGACUCAUAACAUCUGUCUUAUUUGAAGUACAGUGCUAAUAUCUAAUUUGCAUAUAAUGAAUCAUUGAAACUGAGAAAAUGCCUAAUUGAAAACAUAAUUAUUUUUCAAAUAUCUGUCGAGUUCCACUCAUAUUGAAAUAACUUGAGAUCUUAUGACUGACAUGGAAAAAAACCGAGUGGAAUCAUAGUUUUAAUAAGUUGACAAUCUAAAACCUGAAUUCCAAUUUCAGAAUCUUUUUGUACUUUUUAUUAAAAGUAAGAAUCAUCCCUCAAAUGACUUCAUGGUACAGCUCAAAGGUACAGAUAAUUUCAAAGCAAGUGAUCUGUGUGUAUGUUGAUUUUUUUUUUUUUUAAAUGCAUUCCAGAGGUUGUCAGUGGUUCUUGCACCGCCAUAAAUGUAGAAUUGACGUUAACUGUAGUGGAAAACACCCUGCAGGUGUGCUAAGUACAUAAUUGUCAUCGGUGUCAUCAAUUUGAGUACGUCCUUGGAACUGAGAGUAAGAAUAAUCAAAGUCAUUUUUUUUCUUUUUUGCUAACGUGCAUUUCUCCUUAAAGCAUAAAAUCCCC